ACUCCUACGGGAGGCAGCAGUGGGGAAUAUUGCACAAUGGAGGAAACUCUGAUGCAGCCAUGCCGCGUGUGUGAAGAAGGCUCUAGGGUUGUAAAGCACUUUAAGUUGUGAGGAAAGGUUAGUAGUUAAUACCUGCUAGCUGUGACGUUAGCAACAGAAUAAGCACCGGCUAAUUUAGUGCCAGCAGCCGCGGUAAUACUAAAGGUGCGAGCGUUAAUCGGAAUUACUGGGCGUAAAGCGCGCGUAGGUGGUUUGUUAAGUUAGAUGUGAAAGCCCAGGGCUUAACCUUGGAACUGCAUCUGAUACUGGCAGGCUAGAGUGUAGUAGAGGGAGGUAGAAUUUCAGGUGUAGCGGUGAAAUGCGUAGAGAUCUGAAGGAAUACCGGUGGCGAAGGCGGCCUCCUGGACUAACACUGACACUGAAGUGCGAAAGCGUGGGUAGCGAACGGGAUUAGAUACCCCGGUAGUCCACGCCGUAAACGAUGUCUACUAGCCGUUGGGGGGUUUAACCCUUUAGUGGCGCAGCUAACGCAUUAAGUAGACCGCCUGGGGAGUACGGCCGCAAGGCUAAAACUCAAAUGAAUUGACGGGGACCCGCACAAGCGGUGGAGCAUGUGGUUUAAUUCGAUGCAACGCGAAGAACCUUACCAGGACUUGACAUCCUCAGAACUUUCCAGAGAUGGAUUGGUGCCUUCGGGAACUGAGUGACAGGUGCUGCAUGGCUGUCGUCAGCUCGUGUCGUGAGAUGUUGGGUUAAGUCCCGUAACGAGCGCAACCCUUAUCCUUAGUUGCUAACAUUUAGUUGAGAACUCUAGGGAGACUGCCAGUGACAAACUGGAGGAAGGUGGGGACGACGUCAGUCAUCAUGGGCCUUACGUCCUGGCUACACACGUGCUACAAUGGUGCAUACAGAGGGUUGAC
RNAcentral lists this ribosomal RNA (920 nucleotides) under uncultured Gammaproteobacteria bacterium. RNAcentral describes it as "bacterial SSU rRNA". It matches the Rfam family "Bacterial small subunit ribosomal RNA", at positions 335 to 1251 of the family's 1533-position model. The record is from RNAcentral. Lineage: Bacteria; Pseudomonadati; Pseudomonadota; Gammaproteobacteria.